UACGUAGGGUGCGAGCGUUAAUCGGAAUUACUGGGCGUAAAGGGUGCGCAGGCGGCGUCGCAAGUCAGGCGUGAAAUCCCCGGGCUUAACCUGGGAACUGCACUUGAAACUACGAUGCUGGAGUAUGGCAGAGGGAGGUGGAAUUCCACGUGUAGCGGUGAAAUGCGUAGAGAUGUGGAGGAACACCGAUGGCGAAGGCAGCCUCCUGGGCCAAUACUGACGCUCAUGCACGAAAGCGUGGGGAGCAAACAGGAUUAGAUACCCUGGUAGUCCACGCCCUAAACGAUGAUGACUAGUUGUUGGAGGAGUUAAAUCCUUUAGUAACGCAGCUAACGCGAGAAGUCAUCCGCCUGGGGAGUACGGUCGCAAGAUUA
RNAcentral lists this ribosomal RNA (374 nucleotides) under uncultured prokaryote. RNAcentral's name for it is "bacterial SSU rRNA". It matches the Rfam family "Bacterial small subunit ribosomal RNA", at positions 524 to 896 of the family's 1533-position model. The record is from RNAcentral.